This 465-nucleotide ribosomal RNA is filed under the name uncultured bacterium. Its description in RNAcentral is "partial 16S ribosomal RNA". It matches the Rfam family "Bacterial small subunit ribosomal RNA", at positions 338 to 795 of the family's 1533-position model. The record is from RNAcentral.
CCUACGGGAGGCUGCAGUGGGGAAUUUUGCGCAAUGCUCGUAAGAGUGACGCAGCGACGCCGCGUGAAUGACGAAGGCCUUCGGGUCGUAAAGUUCUUUCGACAGGGAAGAAAAUGCCUAUAAGUAACUGUGUAUGUAUUGACGGUACCUGUAUAAGCAGCCCCGGCUAACUCCGUGCCAGCAGCCGCGGUAAUACGGAGGGGGCGAGCGUUGUUCGGAGGGACUGGGCGUAAAGGGCACGUAGGCGGUGUUGUAAGUCAUUAGUCAAAGACUAGAGCUCAACUUUAGUAAGGCUAGGGAUACUAUAAUACUAGAGUAUCAGAGAGGAUUGCAGAAUUCCUGGUGUAGCGGUGAAAUGCGUAGAUAUCAGGAGGAACACCGGCGGCGAAGGCGGCCUGCUGGACCGCGACUGACGUUGAGGCUCGAAAGCGUGGGGAGCGAACAGGAUUAGAUACCCGGGUAGUC